UCUGGCGGCUGUAGCGCGGUGGUCCCACCUGACCCCAUGCCGAACUCAGAAGUGAAACGCCGUAGCGCCGAUGGUAGUGUGGGGUCUCCCCAUGUGAGAGUAGGGAACUGCCAGAC
RNAcentral lists this ribosomal RNA (116 nucleotides) under Citrobacter freundii. RNAcentral also lists the same sequence under 10 other names. Lineage: Bacteria; Pseudomonadati; Pseudomonadota; Gammaproteobacteria; Enterobacterales; Enterobacteriaceae. The record is from RNAcentral.